This 377-nucleotide ribosomal RNA is filed under the name uncultured bacterium. RNAcentral's name for it is "bacterial SSU rRNA". It matches the Rfam family "Bacterial small subunit ribosomal RNA", at positions 523 to 898 of the family's 1533-position model. The record is from RNAcentral.
AGACGAACCGUCCAAACGUUAUUCGGAAUCACUGGGCUUAAAGGGUGCGUAGGCGGCUCUGCAAGUUGGAUGUGAAAGCCCUCGGCUCAACCGAGGAAUUGCGCCCAAAACUGCUGGGCUUGAGGGAGACAGAGGUGAGCGGAACUUAGGGUGGAGCGGUGAAAUGCGUUGAGAUCCUAAGGAACACCAGUAGCGAAAGCGGCUCACUGGGUCUCUUCUGACGCUGAGGCACGAAAGCUAGGGGAGCGAAGAGGAUUAGAUACCCUCGUAGUCCUAGCCGUAAACGAUGAGUACUGAUUUGGAGGCUCCUCCAUAGGCUUCCAGAUGUAGCGAAAGUGUUAAGUGCUCCGCCUGGGGAGUAUGGUCGCAAGGCUGAA